CCUACGGGAGGCAGCAGUGGGGAAUUUUGGACAAUGGGCGAAAGCCUGAUCCAGCAAUGCCGCGUGAGUGAAGAGGGCCUUCGGGUUGUAAAGCUCUUUUGUCAGGGAAGAAACGGUGAGAGCUAAUAUCUCUUGCUAAUGACGGUACCUGAAGAAUAAGCACCGGCUAACUACGUGCCAGCAGCCGCGGUAAUACGUAGGGUGCAAGCGUUAAUCGGAAUUACUGGGCGUAAAGCGUGCGCAGGCGGUUUUGUAAGUCUGAUGUGAAAUCCCCGGGCUCAACCUGGGAAUUGCAUUGGAGACUGCAAGGCUAGAAUCUGGCAGAGGGGGGUAGAAUUCCACGUGUAGCAGUGAAAUGCGUAGAUAUGUGGAGGAACACCGAUGGCGAAGGCAGCCCCCUGGGUCAAGAUUGACGCUCAUGCACGAAAGCGUGGGGAGCAAACAGGAUUAGAUACCCUGGUAGUCCACGCCCUAAACGAUGUCUACUAGUUNUCGGGUCUUAAUUGACUUGGUAACGCAGCUAACGCGUGAAGUAGACCGCCUGGGGAGUACGGUCGCAAGNUUAAAACGCAAAGGAUUGACGNNGAGAGNGCGAGACGACGACGAGGGAGGAG
RNAcentral lists this ribosomal RNA (614 nucleotides) under uncultured bacterium. Its description in RNAcentral is "bacterial SSU rRNA". It matches the Rfam family "Bacterial small subunit ribosomal RNA", at positions 338 to 946 of the family's 1533-position model. The record is from RNAcentral.